AAGCUGCCUAUAUGGACUAGUCUAUAAAGUAUUUCUGCUAGAAACAUGAGGAAUAUGUGACUGCAACAUACUUUUCUUACUACAGCCUGCAUACAGAAUGUUCUUUAAAUGAGCACAGAAUGUGCUUCAGAAUGAAAGAUUCUCAGUGAAAGCUAGUAGUUAAAAUUAAUAUCCACUUGAUGUGAAAAUGGAACAAACAUCAGAAGGACCAAGCAUUUUGCUUGGCUAAAGAAACUGCAGUUCUCAAGAGGAGGAAUUUAUCUACGUUGGGAAUUUGUUAAUAGAUAAUUGAUGUAUACAAUGGAUAUGCAUAUACCAUUUGGAUUUUUUUUCUACUGUAGCUUCACGCAAUUUUUGGCAUUGUAAUCUUUCAAGAUGUCAAUGCUUCUUUAUACAUUUCAUGCGCUUAUAUGUAAAGUAUGUUUAAAUAAGCCACUGUUUUCAGUAGAUCCUGCUUUUUCAGUGAAACUCGCGUUUUGAAUAUUGUGGUUGUCAGAAUUCUGAAGCAGCAAUGCAAUAAAAGAAGUUGUAUAAGAUCUUUUAUAUACAGAAACCUAGAUGUACACUUUGCAUAUAUGUACAAGUGCUUUUCUCUGGUUACAGUGUUUGCAGUCUAGUGCUAGUAAUCUUUACUAUGAAAGGACUUUCUAUUUUUAAUCCUUUAGAUAAUUUUUCUUUAUAAAGAAAUAUAAUUAAAAGUGACUUUAUUGCGAACAGUUUUGAAGUGCUGAAAUUACACAUGCUGCCUAUUUUUCAAAGCCUGUUACUGCUAAUGAGUUUUUUAUCAUUAUUCUGCAAAGAAUGGUGAUGUUAUGAAUUGGUAUGUUAUAUUGUCAACAAGCAUUGUUUUUGAAGAAAAGGUUUGAAGAUAUUCAAAACUAUCACUGUUGCAACAAAUCUAUUGCUUUCUUUUAAAUAGUUGCGCCAUCCAUUACAGUCCUUUGAAUUCUGACAGUAAUUCAGGCAAACAGGAGGAACCAAAGACCAGAUGAUGCUUGUGUAGCAGGCAUUUUUCUGUUCAUUGCCAAGUGCACAGUUCACUGUUCGGUCACCUGUGUCGGCUGGUUUAGUGCCUUUAAUGCAGUUCUCUGCAUGCUCCCUAUUCUAUAAAGCUUACUUGGGGACUUCAGACAUGGCCUGUCUUAUUAUUCCCUAAGGAAGGGUAAGGCCUUUACUGUCCAGCUGGAAGGAUCACUAAUUAGAGCCCUUGCUUUGGCACAGAGUGUGUCAAGCCUGCAAGCCUUCCUGCUGGGAUCAAUGGCAUUCAUGUUUGCUUUCAUGAAUGCACAAUGGACAGGGAUCUUGGCAAAGAACUGCCUAUUUAGCUUGUGCUGAGAAGCUGAGUCUUCACAACAUUUUAAAGUAAUUGUAGAGGUAGAAAGGGAGCUAUAAGAAUACACCCUUAUUAUUCUGCUCAAAAAAAAAAAAAAAAAAAAAG
Long non-coding RNA from Anas platyrhynchos (mallard), 1438 nucleotides. RefSeq lists it as uncharacterized. NCBI's taxonomy places the organism in Eukaryota, Metazoa, Chordata, Aves, Anseriformes, Anatidae. The record is from RefSeq and is a predicted model, not a curated record.